Molecule: ribosomal RNA, 504 nt
Filed under: Faecalibacterium prausnitzii
Lineage: Bacteria; Bacillati; Bacillota; Clostridia; Eubacteriales; Oscillospiraceae
Description: bacterial SSU rRNA
Rfam family: Bacterial small subunit ribosomal RNA
Source: RNAcentral
GAGACAGGUGGUGCAUGGUUGUCGUCAGCUCGUGUCGUGAGAUGUUGGGUUAAGUCCCGCAACGAGCGCAACCCUUAUGGUCAGUUACUACGCAAGAGGACUCUGGCCAGACUGCCGUUGACAAAACGGAGGAAGGUGGGGAUGACGUCAAAUCAUCAUGCCCUUUAUGACUUGGGCUACACACGUACUACAAUGGCGUUAAACAAAGAGAAGCAAGACCGCGAGGUGGAGCAAAACUCAGAAACAACGUCCCAGUUCGGACUGCAGGCUGCAACUCGCCUGCACGAAGUCGGAAUUGCUAGUAAUCGCAGAUCAGCAUGCUGCGGUGAAUACGUUCCCGGGCCUUGUACACACCGCCCGUCACACCAUGAGAGCCGGGGGGACCCGAAGUCGGUAGUCUAACCGCAAGGAGGACGCCGCCGAAGGUAAAACUGGUGAUUGGGGUGAAGUCGUAACAAGGUAGCCGUAGGAGAACCUGCGGCUGGAUCACCUCCUUUCUAAGGA